UGUUCAUUCGUUUAGGCGCUACGAUGCCACAGACAGAUACACAUAUACACACGUCAAACUUAUAACACCCCUCUUUUUGGGUCGGGGGUUAAAAAGUGCGACUCUUUAUAGGUAAUUUUUGUUACAAGUUGUAUUAGAGCUGUCUUUCGUAUUGUCAUUUUUUAACUUUUUGUAGUUUUUUUUUUAUAACAGGUUGGAUUCUUUAUAAUUUUUGUCAUUAUAAAAGUAUAUUGUCGUCCGUCUUUCGAAUGUCUCAAGUGUAACAGAAAAAUUGCAUUUUUUUUUUUUUUUUUUUUUUCGUUACGCCCGUUUUUAUUAGAAUGUCUUUUUUUUUUUUGCAUCUGUUUUUUCAUAUGCCCAUAGAAUAUAGCCCUUGCGAUUGUUACAAAAAAAAAAAAAAAAAAAAUUUGACAGGUAGCAAUGUCCUAUAUAUAGCACAAGUGAAGGAUAAAAUCCGAGAAACCGUGAAUUGGAGAAUUGCGUUCACGACCGCAUAAAGUUAGCGUUUAUUACUAAUACAAAUCAUAGAUGGCGCUGUCCAGUCAUUAGGUUGCAAUUUUUUCACUUUCGGUCGAUUUAUUAUAGAAGAUAUAUUGUAUAAGUUGUGAAGCUUUCAUGCAAGUAAACAUUUUCAUCUCCCCUACUUUCAAAAAUUUGCUGUUUCAGAUAGUAAUUAUUUUCUCCUAUUGAUAAUUAUUUUAUUUUUUUCUCUUUUGUUCAAAGGUCAAAGGGUCACAUCUGAGAACUCUACGGGAACAACUCCACAGGUCCACGGGCGACGGUCACCGGCCACGCUAGCUUAGCUGCCGUAACGUCAAAGGGUCACAUCUGAGAACUCUACGGGAACAACUCCACAGGUCCACGGGCGACGGUCACCGGCCACGCUAGCUUAGCUGCCGUAACGUCAAAGGGUCACAUCUGAGAACUCUACGGGAACAACUCCACAUGUCCACGGGCGACGGUCACCGGCCACGCUAGCUUAGCUGCCGUAACGUCAAAGGGUCACAUCUGAGAACUCUACGGGAACAACUCCACAGGUCCACGGGCGACGGUCACCGGCCACGCUAGCUUAGCUGCCGUAACGUAAGCGGGUAUAAUUAUGCCUAAGCACCUAUCCUAUAGAUAGAUUAGAUAUAGACAAUAGUCAGUACGAAUCCGUACCUACAUACAAAGAGAUUGGGGUGGUUCUAAGAUUGUUUGUGUCCCACCUGACUAACAUACCUAUCCGACCGCUAUGAAUUGUACCACAUGAACGAUUGGAACCAUUAUUUAAGAUAUCCGUAACCAGUAUGCCGCCAGUAUGUAUAUGCAGUCGGUCACCCGUCCAGGGUCACUCAACUCACACUGAAACACACAUGUACACACACUUAAAUAUCGACACGGGAUAAUUACACGGGCUACUGAAUUUAGUCAAUUGUGACGUCACUACCACGUUAAAACUUUCAACAACAUUAUGCGAAUUGAUAAGUUUCAAUUUUAUUGCCCGCGUAGUAAGCGCAGCUUUUACAGCUAGUAAGUAAGGGCAGGACAAGGACAACAUACGUAAGCUGAUAUAAUUGCAAACCCCAAUAUCCCCAGCACACGAAGUAGUUUCCCCAU
Molecule: long non-coding RNA, 1599 nt
Organism: Maniola jurtina (meadow brown)
Lineage: Eukaryota; Metazoa; Arthropoda; Insecta; Lepidoptera; Nymphalidae
Exons: 4
Source: RefSeq, a predicted model, not a curated record